This 207-nucleotide long non-coding RNA is filed under the name Elaeis guineensis (African oil palm). Its description in RNAcentral is "long non-coding RNA (EGUI_LNC052718)". The record is from RNAcentral. Lineage: Eukaryota; Viridiplantae; Streptophyta; Magnoliopsida; Arecales; Arecaceae.
GGGUUGGCCGAGCUACACUCAAAUCCAUGUGCAGUCCAUGUGAAUUCUAGUACCCACUAAGAAAUUAGUGUAAUUCUUCGAAUUGAAGAUAGAGGCUAUCAAUUCGAAUAAAAUAGUGAGAGAACCAUUAGACUAAAAUCUAUAUCUUUAGACUUAAUUAAUUCAUAUACUAAUUAGGUUUUUUUUUUUGCAGUUAUGGCCACCACC